This is a long non-coding RNA of Equus caballus (horse), 2022 nucleotides long. The record is from Ensembl. NCBI's taxonomy places the organism in Eukaryota, Metazoa, Chordata, Mammalia, Perissodactyla, Equidae.
AAAGUUUUACAUUCCAGACUAUCUAAAUAACUCAGCAAAAGCUAAACCUACCUUGGCAGAGCUUUAUCCUCAGGUGAAUUUAAAUUUAGAAAAAUGGAGAUUAUUCUGACACAGCUAAAAGACUUUUCUUCAAAAUCUGUCACAUUUAACAACUGUGUCCAGGCGGGAAUUUACUCCUUCCGGUAUGACAAAGAGGAGGAUGGACCAAAGAGAUCAAGCUCAGACAUUGGACAUGCCUUGGCUUUACUCAAAAAAGAACUGAUCGCAUUCCAAUCAAACCAUUUGAUGAUUGAAUGAUUGAUUAACUUCGCCAGGAUAUGUUGGUACCUUGUAAAGCGGCUUUGCUUUCAGAGCUCCUUUUCUGAUGCCAAUUAUCCUUGGAUAAGAUGAAGUUUCUGUCCACUGAGAUGGAGACAUGCUUGUGGAUGCUGUCAAAAGCUCUUUUACAUUUGAUGACUCGUGUCAAAGAACUCAACGAUCCCAAGAGGAAUUACUUUCUACCAAGCAUCAUGUGCACUCAGCUUCGUAUGUAUUUCCCAGGACUUUCUUCAAAGACCAGACAUUAUGAAAGAACUAUUUUGAAGAGGACUGAAAAAAAUCCAGUCAAAAUGCAUCUCCCAGACCCUCAUCCAGUGAGGUUUAUUCUCCAACACCUUUGUGACAUUGUAAAUAACACGUCCUUUAGUUAUGAGAGGAAUUUCAUGAUGAAAUCUCUUGAAGAACAAAAAUGAGAAUAUGUGGGGAUUGAAGAGGCAAUUUAAAGGGCUAUCGUGACCAUUAAUAUCCUCUUGGAUACAGCUGUGUAAACCUAGGAUGGGAGGUACAUAAACAGGAAUUUGACGAGAUGCUGCCAAGUUUGGCUAGAGCUCAGAUCCUGCAAGUCGGUUUUAAUUUUCAAUAAUGCCCACCACGUCUCUGACUUAAACAAGAUAUAUAGUUGUCCAUGCAAACACAUCUGUGUAAGCCAUAUUGGAUGAAACAGGUCUUUUGGCAUGCAACAUCUGAAAUUUUGGGUUUUUUUCCCUCUGGCUCACUGAUCAACUGCAGCUCUCUGCCAAUAAAUUAUUGUAAAGAAAUUAAUAGGGAAACCUAUUUGUCAUCACUAUGUAUGCUACUGAGAUUCUAAAGAGCCUGGAGGAAAAGUCUGAUUAUUUCCAUUUAUCAAAGUCCUAUUCAUCCUUAAAGACACGGAUCAAAUCUUAUCGCUUCCAUGAAGCUCUGAUUGUCCGUGCCCAGGAAUGGAUCUCCCGCUGUUCCCAAGUCCCACAGUGCCAGUUUUCUCUAUCAUACAUCAGAAAGUCACCAGAAAACAAAGGACAUCUUGGUAGACUUUACAUCAGAGUUUAAGUCCUGGCUCUGCCACUCCUGGGCAGAGCAAUGACCUUAGGCAAGUAACUUGCCUUUCAAAUUUAAUAAUGACAACAGCAAUGACGUGUAUUGAAACCUUAACAUACGCAAAGCCUUAUGUGCAAUACAAUAUUUCUAAUCCUCACAACAGCCUACAAGGUAGUUAUGAUUAUUCUCCAUCGUACAGCUCAGGCAACUGAGUGGUUAAAGAACAGGAUAGCAUAUUUAAUAAGCUAGUCUUCCAGCUUCAACAAAUAUGCAUGUUGCAAUUCAUUAGCCUACUUUUCUCACUUCUUAAGAGGUGUUCAAUACGUAGUAGUUAUUAUAUAUAUUCCAACAAUGCUGAUUUAUUUAUUGUUUAACCAUAUAGGCUCUAUUGGGAAGUUUUAAAGACCAUGUUGACCACUCUGGUCCCAGAGGACCCCUGGGUUUUACAUUUACCAUUGGCAACCUAGACCUUGAAUUUUACACUCAGCAACAAAAGAGCUGCCAUAGAAAGUAUCCAAGGCUAUAAAAUUCGACAAGAUUAGAUACCUGCCAUUUCUCUUUUUUUUGUUUUGGUGAAAAUAAAGCCACUCCUCAUAGACACAGAACACUUUUGACCAUCAUUUACUGUAUAAGAUUCAAGUGGGGUAUCCAAGCAUGAUAAAAUAUUUCAAAAUAUUGCAAUUUCAC